Molecule: ribosomal RNA, 119 nt
Filed under: Pteropus alecto (black flying fox)
Lineage: Eukaryota; Metazoa; Chordata; Mammalia; Chiroptera; Pteropodidae
Source: RNAcentral
GUCUAUGGCCAUACCACCCUGAACACACCUGAUCUUAUCUGAUCUCAGAAGCUAAGCAGAGUCAAGGCUGGUUAGUACUUUGAUGGGAGACCACCUAGGCAUACUGGGUGCUGUAGGCU